This 1772-nucleotide unclassified non-coding RNA is filed under the name Zea mays. Its description in RNAcentral is "misc RNA Zm00001eb050540". The record is from RNAcentral. Lineage: Eukaryota; Viridiplantae; Streptophyta; Magnoliopsida; Poales; Poaceae.
CUAUAAAGCCGCGCAGCGCGCCUGCGACUACCUUCGCCGAACGCGCAAACCUCCAUUUAGAAAAACCACAGCAAACCAGAGAUCUACCAAUCCAACGCAGAGAAGCAACCGCAUCGCUAUAUAAUGGCCGCUCCGGCCUCCUCGUCCACCGCCGCACCCGCGUCAUCGCCACCGCACAAGCCUCCAAACAACGCCGGCAGCACCAUGCUAGAGCCACAGUCACCGUCGCCCUACCCCGACGCCGCGGCGCCCGUGGCUUCCAGCGUCAGCUCCGCGAGCUGCUGCAGCAGCAGCAGCAGCGGGGGCAGCAGCCAAGCGGACCGGUCGUCGACGUUCUCCGUGGACUCGUCUUCGGCCGCGACGCCGUCGUCCUCCCCCCCGCGCCCGCACCGCGCGAGCGACGUGGCGUGGGCGCCCAUCCGGGGCCGGGCGCUCGGCCCGCGGGACUUCACGCUCCUCCGCCGCGUCGGGGCCGGGGACAUCGGCACCGUCUACCUGUGCCGUCUCGAGAGCCAGAGCCAGGCCCCCGAGGGGUCCGCGUGCGAGUACGCCAUGAAGGUGGUGGACCGGCGCGCGCUCGCCAAGAAGGGGAAGCUGGCGCGCGCCGCGGCCGAGAAGCGCGUCCUGCGGCGGCUGGACCACCCGUUCCUGCCCACCAUGUUCGCGGACUUCGACGCCGGCACGGACCUGUCGUGCAUCGUGAUGGAGUUCUGCCGGGGCGGCGACCUCCACUCCCUCCGCCACCGCAUGCCGGGCCGCCGCUUCCCGCUCGCGUCCGCGCGGUUCUACGGCGCCGAGGUGCUCCUGGCGCUGGAGUACCUGCACAUGAUGGGCAUCGUGUACCGCGACCUCAAGCCAGAGAACGUGCUCAUACGCGGCGACGGCCACAUCAUGCUCACGGACUUCGACCUGUCGCUGGAGUCGACGGCGUCGCCGGCUCUGGAGGACGCGAGGAGCGUCGUGGGCGACAAGGACGACGACGUGCCGGAGCCGGCACCGACCUGCCUCCCGAUCCCGGAGCUGCAGCUCCUUCGGCUGCGGCGGUGGAAGCGCCGGGCCGCGCCGCGGCCGCGGUUCGUGGCGGAGCCCGUGGACGCGCGGUCCAGCUCGUUCGUGGGCACGCACGAGUACGUGGCGCCCGAGGUGGCCCGCGGGGGCGGGCACGGCGCGGCCGUGGACUGGUGGGCCUACGGCGUGUUCCUGUACGAGCUCAUCUACGGGCGCACCCCGUUCGUCGGGGAGAGCAACGAGGCCACGCUCCGCAACAUCGUGCGGCGGCCGCUGGAGUUCCCGGCCGCCGCGACCGCGCACGGGGACUCCGCCGCGGCGCGGGACCUGAUCGCGCGGCUCCUGGACAAGGACCCGCGCACCAGGCUCGGGUCGAAGCGCGGCGCCGCCGACGUGAAGGCGCACGGCUUCUUCAAGGGCCUGAACUUCGCGCUGCUGCGGUCGACGCCGCCGCCCGUGGUGCCGCCCCCCGCCGCCCCGCACCGGUGCGACAAGGCCGCCGACGUGCAGCAGCUGUUCGAUCACUUCUGAGUCCCGAACUCCCGAAGUCCCGAUGGACGUCCGUUUCGUUCAAAUGAUGCAAGCAUUUUUUUUUUCUCUUCUUUUGUCGUUGAUCGAUCGAUCGGUAGCCAGCCAAGAGUUGUGUGCCGGAGUGACUAACCAGCUUUGGUAGCCAGAUCGAGGCAUGCCUGGUGUUGACUAGCUGAAUACUCUACUCCAUUAGCACUGCUGUACAACGCUGUUAAUUACUACUAAUGAAGCGA